GUGUUCACUUUAGUGGCAAAUAUACAAAAAUUGGAAAAAUACAAAGGUUAGCAUGGGCCCUGCACAAGGAUGACAUAUAGCUUUGUGGAACAUCCCGUAUUUUU
RNAcentral lists this small nuclear RNA (104 nucleotides) under Carlito syrichta (Philippine tarsier). The record is from RNAcentral. Lineage: Eukaryota; Metazoa; Chordata; Mammalia; Primates; Tarsiidae.